Molecule: ribosomal RNA, 203 nt
Filed under: uncultured cyanobacterium
Lineage: Bacteria; Bacillati; Cyanobacteriota
Description: partial 16S ribosomal RNA
Rfam family: Bacterial small subunit ribosomal RNA
Source: RNAcentral
GGAUGAACGCUGGCGGUCUGCUUAACACAUGCAAGUCGAACGAACUCUUCGGAGUGAGUGGCGGACGGGUGAGUAACGCGUGAGAAUCUGGGCUGUGGGUCGGGGACAACCACUGGAAACGGUGGCUAAUACCGGAUGAGCCGAAGGUAAAGAUUUAUGCCCACAGGAUGAGCUCGCGUCUGAUUAGCUAGUUGGUAAGGUAG